This 468-nucleotide ribosomal RNA is filed under the name uncultured bacterium. RNAcentral describes it as "partial 16S ribosomal RNA". It matches the Rfam family "Bacterial small subunit ribosomal RNA", at positions 28 to 507 of the family's 1533-position model. The record is from RNAcentral.
GACGAACGCUGGCGGCGUGCUUAACACAUGCAAGUCGAACGGAAAGGCCCUGCUUUUGUUGGGGGCUCGGGUGGCGAGCGGGUGAGGAACACGAGAGUAACCUGCCCUGGACUUUGGUAUAACUUCAGGAAACUGGGGCUAAUACCGGAUAGGAGCUCCUGCGGCAUGGUGGGGGUUGGAAAGGGUCGGCGGUUGGGGAUGGAUGCGCGGGUUAUCAGGUUGUUGGUGGGGUAGUGGGUUACCACGGCUUUGACGGGUAGCCGGCCUGAGAGGGUGACCGGCCACAUUGGGACUGAGAUACGGCCCAGAAUCCUACGGGAGGCAGCAGUGGGGAAUAUUGUACAAUGGGCGGAAGCCUGAUGCAGUAACGCCGCGUGCGGGAUGAAGGCCUUCGGGUUGUAAACCGCUUUCGCCUGUGACGAAGCGUGAGUGACGGUAAUGGGUAAAGAAGCACCGGCUAACUACGUG